AUCUCAUAUAAAGCAUUCAUGUAAGUCAGCACGAAUGCUUGGGGCAGGGCUGUGGGUUGACUUUGGCCCUGCCCCAUAAUGCCUGUCCUAUGCGAAGCCAACUAUCUCCUUACCUUUUUUUUUUUUGGCUUGAGGGGUGAGGGGGGCGGCGGUGGUUGAGGCCAUGUGUUAGCCCCACCCUGUGUUAAAGUCCACACGUUGAGAAUGCACUGUCAGACCUUUAUAAAUCAGAUCAUCACCUGCACACUUAUGUUGUUUAAUGGGGCUUUGUGUAGAAUGUUUUACACCUAGGCUUGUGUUGACAGUCUCUUUUUGAUCUACUUUUUUCAUUCCACAUCUGUGUUCAAACCAUCACUUAGCAAUGUGAGCAAGGAUCAGGAGAAAGGGCGAGGGAGAAAUUCACUGAUCUUGAGGAUUGUAAGUGGUUGUAUUUAUCAACACAGAACAUAGGUAGUCAUCUACUAAACAAGCAGCAAUUAUACUUUCUUUACUUAGACUGCUGCCCAUGUUUCUCUAAAUCUGAGUUAAAAAGAGCAGUGACUUGUGACUUGCUACUGAUUUUCCUCAUGAAGCCGUCUCUUGAUCAGUUUGGGUGGUUGAAUGUAGUCCACCCUAAGAUUAUACCGUGCUUCCACUUGGCAGCUUAUGUCCACUGCACUGUGGACUCCGCUUUUCUUCAGCUUGUGUGUAGGCUUUGCUACUUUGAGUGUGUUAUACCUGGCCUGGGGGUGAGGCAGGGACUGAAAAGAUGCUCUUGUGCUCUAUAGGAGUUUGCAGUACAUUAGCUCAACACACCAUGUAUUACUGCUGUGUUUGCUCUACACCGUGCAUGUCUGGGAGUGUGGAGUUGCCAGCCUGCUUUAUAUGGGCUUGAUGGAGGACCUUUAUUGUGAUGUCCACAACUGCAGGAUACUCUUGAUCCCUAUCUUGCUCUCAAAGUAACCCCGGGACGUUGUACUGCUGUAAGGCUUUGGUGCUGUGAAUGCGUAAUACCUGGCCUGGGGGUGAGGCAGGGAAUGAGAAGAUGCUCGUAUGCUUUAUAGGAGCUAAACAGAAAUUCAAUUCAUUGAAGGAAGUCAGGCUGGUAGCCAUUUAUAUCACUUUGACUUCUGUUAUGUUCAUUCAAACUCCCCCGAGUCACAGAAAUUACUGCGAUGUCAGAAGGGGAGAUUAACUGGAGUUCAUGGGUGGGACCUUUUGCAAGUGUCCCAAGAAAUCAAAAACGUGCCAGCUAUUUUUCAUCAGUAUUACAUGGCCUCAUGCAGCCACAAACAACAUACUAUUGUUGUGGCCAGAAUAUUAUUGCAAAGGAAAUCUGAGAGGGCGUACUUUAAGCUCUUUAACUUUCUCCGACAAGCAGUUCCCGGUUGGGACCCAGAAGUUCUCAAUUACCUGUGAUCAUGAGAGGUUUGGUGAAUGCCAUUUC
Frankliniella occidentalis (western flower thrips) is the source of this 1426-nucleotide long non-coding RNA. RefSeq lists it as uncharacterized. Lineage: Eukaryota; Metazoa; Arthropoda; Insecta; Thysanoptera; Thripidae. The transcript has 8 exons. The record is from RefSeq and is a predicted model, not a curated record.